This 737-nucleotide ribosomal RNA is filed under the name uncultured bacterium. Its description in RNAcentral is "bacterial SSU rRNA". It matches the Rfam family "Bacterial small subunit ribosomal RNA", at positions 28 to 781 of the family's 1533-position model. The record is from RNAcentral.
GUUGAUCGCUGCGGCGUCUUACACACUGCAGUGAACGAGGUCAUCCGAUCUUCGGAUUGGUGAAGACUAGUGGCGAACGGGUGCGUAACACGUGAGAAACCUGCCCCGGUCUCUGGGAUAACAGUUGGAAACGACUGCUAAUACCGGAUGCCGUCGGACCGUCGCAUGGCGGACCGACGAAAGGGUUACCGGAUCGGGAGGGUCUCGCGGCCUAUCAGCUUGUUGGUGAGGUAACGGCUCACCAAGGCAUCGACGGGUAGCUGGUCUGAGAGGAUGAUCAGCCACACUGGCACUGAGACACGGGCCAGACUCCUACGGGAGGCAGCAGUGAGGAAUAUUGCACAAUGGAGGAAACUCUGAUGCAGCAACGCCGCGUGGAGGAUGACGCAUUUCGGUGUGUAAACUCCUUUUAUAUAGGAAGAUAAUGACGGUACUAUAUGAAUAAGCACCGGCUAACUUCGUGCCAGCAGCCGCGGUAAUACGAAGGGACCUAGCGUAGUUCGGAAUUACUGGGCUUAAAGAGUUCGUAGGUGGUUGAAAAAGUUAGUGGUGAAAUCCCAGAGCUUAACUCUGGAACUGCCAUCAAAACUUUUCAGCUAGAGUAUGAUAGAGGAAAGCAGAAUUUCUAGUGUAGAGGUGAAAUUCGUAGAUAUUAGAAAGAAUACCAAUUGCGAAGGCAGCUUUCUGGAUCAUUACUGACACUGAGGAACGAAAGCAUGGGUAGCGAAGAGGAUUAG